CACCUCUCAGGGUCGCACCUGGAGAGUUUUCAGUACUCUACCAGUCUUGGCUAAAGGAGGGAGAGUGAAGCAGAGGCCUACCUAUUCAAUUCCUAGCUUGGGCAGUGGCUACCGAGUGGAAGACAAUGUGCAACAAGU
Small nucleolar RNA from Ornithorhynchus anatinus (platypus), 138 nucleotides. The record is from RefSeq and is a predicted model, not a curated record. Lineage: Eukaryota; Metazoa; Chordata; Mammalia; Monotremata; Ornithorhynchidae.